CGAACUGUCCUAACGUUGUUCGGAAUCACUGGGCUUAAAGGGCGCGUAGGCGGUCCGACAAGUCAGGGGUGAAAUCCUGCAGCUUAACUGCAGAAAGUGGCCUUUGAUACUGUCGGUCUCGAGGGAGAUAGGGGUGUGCGGAACUUCCAGUGGAGCGGUGAAAUGCGUUGAUAUUGGAAGGAACGCCGGAGGCGAAAGCGGCGCACUGGAUCUCUUCUGACGCUGAGGCGCGAAAGCUAGGGGAGCAAACGGGAUUAGAUACCCCGGUAGUCCUAGCCCUAAACGAUGAGUACUAGGAUUGUAGACUUUCAUGGGUUUACAGUCGAAGCAAAAGUGUUAAGUACUCCGGCCUGGGGAGUAUGGUACGCAAGGCUG
Molecule: ribosomal RNA, 375 nt
Filed under: uncultured organism
Description: bacterial SSU rRNA
Rfam family: Bacterial small subunit ribosomal RNA
Source: RNAcentral